AUUUUGUAACAUUUUCAUAACUAAUGUUGCAAACCAAAAAUCAGAAAUGGUAAGAAAAUAUAUUUUGCAACAUUUUUGUUAAAACAUUGCAAACCAAAAAAAACAGUUUGCGACUUAGUUAAGAUAGUAUUUCGGGGUUUCGGACUCGGUUGGAACGAAGGAACGAAAAAUAAAAAAAUAAAAGAAGAAAGGAAAAGAAAACAAGAAUUAAUCGCACAGAUCUCUUCUUCUUCGUCAAUCGCGCAGAUCUCUCUCUCUCAAUUACUUCGAUCUACUCUGAAAUCUCUUCAUCAAUCGCACAAAUCUCUUCGUCAACAACCUACCAAUUGAUCUUUUCAUCCAUCUUCUUCUCCGGCUAGAGAUUGUUCAUCAACAACCUACCAAAUUUUUUUUUUUUUUUUUUUUUUAAUUGGCAUUUUCAAACACGUAGAUUGCAUUAGCAUUUUUUAGCAUGAGAAAAAGAUCAACUUAUGAUUUCUUUUUAAAUUUUAUGGUUGAACAGGGUUAUGAACCAAUGUUUGGAACAUCUUCAAGUGCACAUCAGGUUAAGUAUCAAUAUAACAUGAUUGUUGUAAUCGAGUGUUAUCUGAUUUUUAAAUAAUUUGAGUAAUUGUUAUUUUGUUUUCAAUUAGGUGCAUUCCACAAAUAAAAAUCCCUUAGUUGUGAAGUGCAAACUGUUUCGAAUGGACGAAGAAGACAUUGUAGCUGAAGGUGUUUAGCUGUCAGAUAAUCCAGAUAUGGAAGCGCAGGGGAUUAAACUUGGGCCAGGUGCAUCUAAGGUUGUGGUGGAACAUGUUAUCGAAUCUACAGCAAGAUUAUGGAAACCUUGCAAUGGUAUGAAAAUAUUGGAAGAAGGUUGUUCCAUUGCAUGGCCCACUGACCAUAUCAUAAAAGAGGUAAGUUGUAUGUUAAGUUGGAUUAUGGAAAAAUACUGCUUAAGUUACAUUUUUGGCAUUGAAAUGCUUGGAUACUGACCACCAUGUUCAAGUUGAGAUUCAAAUCCAAUACCACUCCCUCCAUGAUAAUGGUAGAAUGUCUGCACAUUUGUCUUGCAAAAUUUUCUUAGCUCCUCUUCACAGUUUUGCAUUCUCAUUUUGUUUGGUUGCCCACGUACAAUUUGAUUAAAUUGGAUUGUGAUAUUUUUUCAAGCAAGUGACCCAUCCUCACACAUUGAUCCAAGUCUUAUUUUAUCCAAUAAAUAGUUGAAUCUUACUGAAGGGUUUUUUCUGGGAUCUGUAUUCUUUAGUUAGAUUUCAAUUUAUUUUUCAUUAUAUUGUAAUAGGAUUGAGAAGGGGAUCGGUGUUGUGCUUUCUACUUUACAUUUCACAACGCGACUACUUCCAUUUGAAGGUAAUUUCAUUCAUCAUUCAUUUGCAUAUUGUGAUUAUAACUGGCAUUAAUCUAUUGUAUGUUGUGAAAGUGGUGCUUAAUGAACUUCUUUUAAAAAACUCAUUUUAUUGUAUUAAACCAGCUAAACAACCAAAGUUUUCUAGCAAUUGUAAGAACAUGUAGCUUUAUUCAGACCCACCAAACUUAUAAAUUGUGUCUGAUAUUAAAUCUUUUUUUUUUUUUGGAGUUGGAUAUUUGUUUUGGCCAACUGUGAGCUUUGACGACUUCAUGUGAUAGGAGAACUUAAUCUUUUUAUGUAAAUUGAUAUGAAUGCAGUUUGUGAGUGGCUCGUAUGACCAUCUUUCAAACUCUUUGAUGGGUGAUUUCAAUUUGAUUGUGCAGGUUACCUUGUGUGAAUGAUGAUCUUCUAGGUGAUGAUGAUGUUAGCUUGGGAUUAGAUGUUUGUUGUCAUCAUUCUAGGGUUGUUGAAAAUUUUAAUUUUUAGAAUAGUGAAGCAUUUGAAUGAUGUAAAACUUUAUAAUAAAUAUUUUUAUUUUUGAAAGUGAUGUAAUUUGUACGUGAAUUUGGAUGUUAAUAAAAUUUCAAUUUUCUAUGUUCUUCAAAUUUUUCUGCAAC
This 1965-nucleotide long non-coding RNA is filed under the name Aquilegia coerulea. RNAcentral describes it as "long non-coding RNA (ACOE_LNC001444)". The record is from RNAcentral. Lineage: Eukaryota; Viridiplantae; Streptophyta; Magnoliopsida; Ranunculales; Ranunculaceae.